AAUAAAAUAAAUUCUCGCACAGUGUAUAUAUUAACUCGCGGAAUGUACUGAGACGCUUCAUAAUAUAUAUAUACACAUACCACUGUACAUAUUAUAUACAUAUAUAAAUCGGGCAGCUGACUUUCUCUAGUUGGAAUGAAUUUUGGAUAAGCAAAUACAAUUGUUCGAGUGUUUAAAUAGAAAAUAAAUAAACGAGUAAACAAAUAUAAAAAAAAAACAGUUAAGGACACAACAUCAAAAUGGAUGAAUUGACAAAUUUCCUCAAGCAGGCGGGAAAAGAAUUCCUAAAUGUCGCUGGUGAUGCUGCAGUGGGCGCGGCGAAAGAGGUUGUGGGUUCGGUGAUUAAUGAAAUUUUCAUCAAGAAAGAGGCUGAUACCAAACGUGUUCUUCCGAGUAUUAAAAAUAUGCGCGUUCUUGGUGAAAGAGGCAGUGGUACGCGCGUACAGGCGGACAUUCAAGAUUUUGACGCCAUUCGGAGUAUGUGCCUUGCCAAUGGCUCCUUAUUUGAAGAUCCACUGUUUCCGGCCAACAACGAAUCUCUUUUGUUUUCGCAACGGCCCGACCGACAUAUCGAGUGGAUGAGGCCACAUGAGAUCACCGAUGAUCCGCAAUUCUUUGUCGAAGGCUAUUCCCGUUUCGAUGUGCAACAGGGUGAAUUGGGCGAUUGCUGGCUGCUUGCAGCCACCGCCAACUUAACUCAGGAUCCAAAUCUCUUCUUUCGUGUUGUGCCACCAGAUCAAAACUUCGAAGAAAACUAUGCGGGCAUCUUCCAUUUUUGCUUCUGGCAAUAUGGCAAAUGGAUCGAUGUGGUCGUGGACGAUCGUUUGCCAACCUAUCGGGGUGAACUAAUGUACAUGCAUUCCACUGAGAAAAAUGAAUUCUGGAGUGCACUCUUGGAGAAGGCCUAUGCCAAAUUACAUGGCUCAUAUGAGGCCUUGAAGGGCGGCACCACUUGUGAGGGCAUGGAAGACUUUACGGGUGGUGUAACGGAAUGGUAUGAUUUGAAGGAAGCACCACAAAAUCUAUUCAAUAUUCUCCAUAAAGCAGUUGAUCGCAACUCUUUAAUGGGUUGCUCACUGGAGCCAGAUCCAAAUGUUUUGGAAGCAGAGACACGUGAAGGUCUCAUACGCGGUCAUGCCUACUCUAUAACCAAAGUGUGCUUACUCGAUAUCGCUGUGCCAAAUCGUCAGGGUAAAAUACCAAUGAUACGUAUGCGUAAUCCUUGGGGUAAUGAGGCCGAAUGGAAUGGUCCGUGGAGUGAUAGUUCACCUGAAUGGCGUUAUAUACCGGAAGAUCAAAAGCAGGAAAUCGGUUUGACAUUUGAUCGUGAUGGUGAAUUUUGGAUGUCAUUUCAAGAUUUUCUCAAUCAUUUCGAUCGAGUGGAGAUAUGUAAUUUAUCACCCGAUUCCCUAACCGAGGAACAACAGAAUAGCGGUAAGCGUCGUUGGGAAAUGUCAAUGUUUGAGGGUGAAUGGACGCAAGGUAUGACGGCGGGUGGUUGUCGUAACUUCUUAGACACCUUCUGGCAUAAUCCACAAUAUGUUAUAACACUGAUGGAUCCCGAUGAGGAUGAUGAUGAUGGCAAAUGUACCGUUAUUGUGGCGUUGAUGCAAAAAAAUCGUCGUUCGAAACGUAAUAUGGGUAUGGAAUGCUUAACCAUCGGUUUUGCCAUCUAUCAUCUAACUGAUGAGGAUAUGCAAACUAAGCCACAAGGUUUAAGUUUCUUUAAAUAUCGUGCAUCGGUGGGACGUUCACCACAUUUCAUUAAUACACGUGAGGUGUGCGCACGCUUUAAACUCCCCCCAGGUCAUUAUUUAAUUGUGCCCUCAACAUUUGACCCGAAUGAGGAAGGUGAAUUCGUUAUUCGUGUUUUCUCGGAAACUCAGAAUAACAUGGAAUCCUUCCAAUACUACUAAUUCACCAGAGAGAAUGACGACCAUGUUGGAUAUGGUAGCCCGACGGAUGAUAAGGUGUUACCAAAUUUGCCAAACCCAAUGGAUCCCAAACCGAAGGAUGCACAUAAUGAAAGUCUUUUAAAACUUUUCA
RNAcentral lists this unclassified non-coding RNA (2046 nucleotides) under Ceratitis capitata (Mediterranean fruit fly). Its description in RNAcentral is "calpain-A, transcript variant X5". Lineage: Eukaryota; Metazoa; Arthropoda; Insecta; Diptera; Tephritidae. The record is from RNAcentral.